This 253-nucleotide ribosomal RNA is filed under the name uncultured bacterium. RNAcentral's name for it is "partial 16S ribosomal RNA". It matches the Rfam family "Bacterial small subunit ribosomal RNA", at positions 524 to 776 of the family's 1533-position model. The record is from RNAcentral.
UACGUAGGGCGCAAGCGUUGUCCGGAUUUAUUGGGCGUAAAGAGCUCGUAGGCGGUUUGUCGCGUCUGCUGUGAAAACCUGAGGCUCAACCUCGGGCUUGCAGUGGGUACGGGCAGACUAGAGUGCGGUAGGGGUGACUGGAAUUCCUGGUGUAGCGGUGGAAUGCGCAGAUAUCAGGAGGAACACCGAUGGCGAAGGCAGGUCACUGGGCCGCAACUGACGCUGAGGAGCGAAAGCAUGGGGAGCGAACAGG